GAUGAACGCUAGCGGCAGGCUUAACACAUGCAAGUCGAGGGGCAGCGUGGAGCAGCAAUGCUCUGACGGCGACCGGCGGAAGGGUGCGUAACACGUGAGCGACUUGCCCGUCACAGGGGGAUAACCGGCGGAAACGGCGACUAAUACCCCAUAUGAUGCGAUGCUGCAUGGCAUUGCAUUGAAAGAUUCAUCGGUGGCGGAUAGGCUCGCGGGACAUUAGCUAGACGGCGGGGCAACGGCCCACCGUGGCGACGAUCGGUAGCCGACCUGAGAGGGUGAUCGGCCACAUUGGGACUGAGACACGGCCCAAACUCCUACGGGAGGCAGCAGUGGGGAAUAUUGGGCAAUGGAGGAAACUCUGACCCAGCAACGCCGCGUGGAGGAAGAAGGUUUUCGGAUCGUAAACUCCUGUCCUUGGAGACGAGUAGAAGACGGUAUCCAAGGAGGAAGCCCCGGCUAACUACGUGCCAGCAGCCGCGGU
This 481-nucleotide ribosomal RNA is filed under the name uncultured bacterium. RNAcentral's name for it is "bacterial SSU rRNA". It matches the Rfam family "Bacterial small subunit ribosomal RNA", at positions 28 to 521 of the family's 1533-position model. The record is from RNAcentral.